RNAcentral lists this ribosomal RNA (406 nucleotides) under uncultured bacterium. Its description in RNAcentral is "partial 16S ribosomal RNA". It matches the Rfam family "Bacterial small subunit ribosomal RNA", at positions 29 to 526 of the family's 1533-position model. The record is from RNAcentral.
AUUGAACGCUGGCGGCAGGCCUAACACAUGCAAGUCGAGCGAGCGGCGGACGGGUGAGUAAUGUCUGGGAAACUGCCUGAUGGAGGUGGAUAACUACUGGAAACGGUAGCUAAUACCGCAUACCAUCAGAUGUGCCCAGAUGGGAUUAGCUGGAAGGUGGGGUAACGGCUCACCUAGGCGACGAUCCCUAGCUGGCCUUAGAGGAAGACCAGCCACACUGGAACUGAGACACGGUCCAGACUCCGACGGGAGGCAGCAGGGGGGAAGAUUGCACAAUGGGCGCAAGCCUGAUGCAGCAAUGCCGCGUGUGUGAAGAAGGCCUUCGGGUUGUAAAGCACUGUCAGCGGGGAGGCGUUACCCGCAGAAGAAGCACCGGCUAACUCCGUGCCAGCCGCCGCGGUAAUUC